UAAAUAUCGAAUGAGUGUGGCGGAGCUUCGAUAUCCGAUAGUGGUUUGUUUACUUUUAGGACCUGCGGGAAAAAAACAGUGGACGCAGUGUAGACAGAGUAUAACUGAGCAGCAACAAAGAACUAUGUUAAUCCAAUCAUUAUAAACAUCUAUGGGUUCUGAUAAGGAGAUAAUGGUUUGAACAACAUUGCAAGAACGUUCAUGAUUACAAAAUGGAGAUUUGAAAUGCUUUUCCAGAUUGGCCAACGUCUACAGGCUAAUAAAUUCAAGUGGACUGGAACUGCUGAUUUUAAACACAAGGCUAUGACAGACUUGAGGUACACUUAGCAACUCCUGCUUAUCUGUUAUGCUUUCCUAUUGCAACAGGACAUGCAUUUUUGUGAUCCAGGGCAUCGAAUAUGUUUAAUUGCAUACCAGGAUAUUCCAUGAUUGCAGAAAAAAAUAAUAAUUUGAAAAAAAUUUAAGGGGGGUUAGUCGCAAAAAUUGGCCCAAAAACACAAAGUGCUCCAUUUCUCGGAAACUAUAAGGAUCACAAGGAUGUACUUUGGUGUAUAAGUAGUGCUCAUUGAUAGUAUUCAGGAUAUACUACUUAACGGACGAAUAUCCUUACAGGAGCCGAGGAAAACAGUUUUUAUCGUAUACAGAAAAUAGGCCAUAGUUCCGAAGUCCUUGCCAGGAGCAGGAUGAAGCUAGUGUCAAAUGAUUCCUCUUUAAAGGGAAUAUCUUUCUGCAAAAGGACAUCCAGAUCGUCCUUGUAGAUCUGGAGAAAAGGCACAUUUUGUAGUUUUGGCCACCUUGUUCGCUCGCCGAGGCUGAAUAUCUUAACGUUAAUGGAUAUUGUAAUAACCCCAUACUUUUUUGAUGGUAACCGAUAGAGUCUCGUCUUGUGAGUGCCGGAAACCAAAAAUAUUGCAAAUGAUCCUGAUGCAGCCGAGCUACAGCCACUCUUCUAUAGAGGAUUGCCAGUGCUUGGCAGCCCUUGGUGAUAUGCAACA
This is a long non-coding RNA of Drosophila busckii, 995 nucleotides long. RefSeq lists it as uncharacterized. The transcript is spliced from 4 exons. The record is from RefSeq and is a predicted model, not a curated record. Lineage: Eukaryota; Metazoa; Arthropoda; Insecta; Diptera; Drosophilidae.